Molecule: long non-coding RNA, 281 nt
Filed under: Hordeum vulgare
Lineage: Eukaryota; Viridiplantae; Streptophyta; Magnoliopsida; Poales; Poaceae
Description: long non-coding RNA (HVUL_LNC012092)
Source: RNAcentral
UUUUUUCUGUUAAAUUGGAUAGUUAGUUUUUUUCAGUUUUUUAUGUGAAAUUAGAUAGUUAGUUUAUUAGGUAGAAAAAGUAGAUAGAGAAGAAAACAAUAGAUAGAAAAAAAACUUAGAAGAAAAUAAGAGAAUAAUAAACUAGAAGAAAAAGGAAGAAGAAGAAGAAGAAGAAGAAGAAGAAAGAGGAAAGGAGGAGAAAGAUAAAAGAAAGAAGAAGAAGAGGAGGAGGAGGAGGAGAAAGAAGAAGAAGAAUAAUAAUAUGAUGAUCAAGAAGAAGA